UGAGUAACCUGCCCUUCACUCUGGGAUAACCCCGGGAAACCGGGGCUAAUACCGGAUACGAGUCCGAGCGGCAUCACACGGACUGGAAAGUUUUUCGGCUAAGGAUGGGCUCGCGGCCUAUCAGCUUGUUGGUGGGGUAAUGGCCUACCAAGGCGACGACGGGUAGCCGGCCUGAGAGGGCGACCGGCCACACUGGGACUGAGACACGGCCCAGACUCCUACGGGAGGCA
This 230-nucleotide ribosomal RNA is filed under the name uncultured bacterium. RNAcentral describes it as "partial 16S ribosomal RNA". It matches the Rfam family "Bacterial small subunit ribosomal RNA", at positions 118 to 350 of the family's 1533-position model. The record is from RNAcentral.